RNAcentral lists this ribosomal RNA (437 nucleotides) under uncultured bacterium. RNAcentral's name for it is "bacterial SSU rRNA". It matches the Rfam family "Bacterial small subunit ribosomal RNA", at positions 958 to 1392 of the family's 1533-position model. The record is from RNAcentral.
AACGCGAAGAACCUUACCUGGGCUUGACAUCCCUGGAAUCCCCUUGAAAGAGGGGAGUGCCCGCAAGGGAGCCAGGAGACAGGUGCUGCAUGGCUGUCGUCAGCUCGUGUCGUGAGAUGUUGGGUUAAGUCCCGCAACGAGCGCAACCCUCACCCUCAGUUGCCACCGGGUCAUGCCGGGCACUCAGAGGGAACUGCCCCGGAUAACGGGGAGGAAGGUGGGGAUGACGUCAAGUCCUCAUGGCCUUUAUGCCCAGGGCUACACACGUGCAACAAUGGCCGGUACAAAGGGCUGCAAUCCCGCGAGGGGGAGCCAAUCCCAGAAAACCGGUCCCAGUUCGGAUUGGAGUCUGCAACUCGACUCCAUGAAGUCGGAGUCGCUAGUAAUCGCGGAUCAGAACGCCGCGGUGAAUACGUUCCCGGGUCUUGUACACACCG